This 1501-nucleotide ribosomal RNA is filed under the name Agrobacterium tumefaciens. Its description in RNAcentral is "bacterial SSU rRNA". The stretch from base 16 to 954 matches the Rfam family "Bacterial small subunit ribosomal RNA". Lineage: Bacteria; Pseudomonadati; Pseudomonadota; Alphaproteobacteria; Hyphomicrobiales; Rhizobiaceae. The record is from RNAcentral.
GCGGGAUCCUUACCCAGCCUUUAGGUUUUUGUCAGGUCAGACGUACGCUGGCGGCAGGCUUAACACAUGCAAGUCGAACGCCCCGCAAGGGGAGUGGCAGACGGGUGAGUAACGCGUGGGAACAUACCCUUUCCUGCGGAAUAGCUCCGGGAAACUGGAAUUAAUACCGCAUACGCCCUACGGGGGAAAGAUUUAUCGGGGAAGGAUUGGCCCGCGUUGGAUUAGCUAGUUGGUGGGGUAAAGGCCUACCAAGGCGACGAUCCAUAGCUGGUCUGAGAGGAUGAUCAGCCACAUUGGGACUGAGACACGGCCCAAACUCCUACGGGAGGCAGCAGUGGGGAAUAUUGGACAAUGGGCGCAAGCCUGAUCCAGCCAUGCCGCGUGAGUGAUGAAGGCCUUAGGGUUGUAAAGCUCUUUCACCGGAGAAGAUAAUGACGGUAUCCGGAGAAGAAGCCCCGGCUAACUUCGUGCCAGCAGCCGCGGUAAUACGAAGGGGGCUAGCGUUGUUCGGAAUUACUGGGCGUAAAGCGCACGUAGGCGGAUAUUUAAGUCAGGGGUGAAAUCCCAGAGCUCAACUCUGGAACUGCCUUUGAUACUGGGUAUCUUGAGUAUGGAAGAGGUAAGUGGAAUUCCGAGUGUAGAGGUGAAAUUCGUAGAUAUUCGGAGGAACACCAGUGGCGAAGGCGGCUUACUGGUCCAUUACUGACGCUGAGGUGCGAAAGCGUGGGGAGCAAACAGGAUUAGAUACCCUGGUAGUCCACGCCGUAAACGAUGAAUGUUAGCCGUCGGGCAGUAUACUGUUCGGUGGCGCAGCUAACGCAUUAAACAUUCCGCCUGGGGAGUACGGUCGCAAGGAUUAAAACUCAAAAGGAAUUGACGGGGGGCCCGCACAAGCGGGUGGAGCAUGUGGAUUUAAUUCGAAAGCAACGCGACAGAACCUUUACCAACCUCUUUGACAUGUCCGGGGAUUUGCCGCAAGAGGAAGACGAUUGGUCGCUUCACAUUAAGGCAUGGCGCCCAACAACGUGGUGGCUGCGAUGGGCUCGUCCAUCAUCGUCGUCGUCGAUGAUGAUUGUUGUGGUAUAACCUCGCCGACAACGCAGCAGCAACUCCGUCGACCCAUUAUGUUGACCAGACAUGUUAGCUUCGGGACACAUCAUAAGCGGGGACGUGCACGAGUGGAUAAAGACCGGAUGAGGGAAUGGAUGGUGGAAUGGACCGUCCUAGGUCCCUCUAUGGGCCUCUUUAGCGUGUGCAUGGGGCUUACAACAACGGUGGCUUACGAAAUGGGUAGGGUUGACCACGUGAGGGCCAGCCGAAGGACGAGACGGACUAGUUCCGACGCCUAAACUCCUCGCAUAAGAUGCCCUAUCCUUCAAGCUGUCCAGGGAAUUUGGCCAACCUUCCUGGCCAUAGCCUUCCGGAAGAUUGGCCAAUGGAAAAUGCUUUCGGGGAAAAUUACAGGCCUUAAGGUUGAAAUUCCCAGCCAAGUAAAUUCCAA